This is a long non-coding RNA of Pseudopipra pipra, 2049 nucleotides long. RefSeq lists it as uncharacterized. The transcript is spliced from 6 exons. The record is from RefSeq and is a predicted model, not a curated record. NCBI's taxonomy places the organism in Eukaryota, Metazoa, Chordata, Aves, Passeriformes, Pipridae.
AGCCAGUGAUGAAGGGGAGACCUCUGAACCAAUGCCUGGCGGUGGCAGGUCACACUAAGUGUCUCCAAACCUCGCAGAAAGGGGUACAGUGGGGUGCCCACAUCCAAGCAUCCUUCUUUUCUUUCCCAGCUCUGCUGCCGGGAUCAGCCCUUCCCAAGCAAAGCCCCAGCUCCAGUCUUCACUGACAUCUAGUGGCAGUGCUGACGCUUAGAGCUGGCAGGGGUUGCUGCUCGAAGCCAAAAUGAGCCUUCUUGCAGGUUCCCAUCCUGGGUGGGAUCCCACUUCCCCUGGGAAAAGCCACCCCCAAGCACACACCAUGUAAGGGACCGUGGAAACAGUGUCCCUGCCACCACUUCGGCUCUGCAGGAAGAGGAAAAUAUAAGCCUGUAAUCUCCAGCUGGCAGACACUGAGGAGAUAAGCUUCAGGUGUCUCCCGACGCUCACCGGGGAGUUUUGUUCUCCCACCUUAUCUCCACCUCCAGGUCACAUCAUCUUGGGGCUCAGCACAGUCCCUGGGGGGAGUGCAGAGCACUGCUGUCCCAUCCCUGCUCCGGACAGGGUGUCUGAGGGUGGGCUGUGAUCCCAAACCAUGCAGACAGCAGCGUGUUUCUCAGUGAUAACCCUUCUCCCAGCUCGUGCAGCUCAGCCACCACACGCAGACGCUGCUCCUGGACCACAAACCCAUCCUGGCACAAGCAUCCCUGGAAGGCCUUGAUAAUCAGGAAGAAACCAAUUUUCCCCACCUCCUCAGGCUGAACACCCGCAGUUCUACCAGAGCAGAAGGGCUGCAUCCCUUGGAGCAUCUGCAAGGCUGCAUCCCUUGGAGCAUCUGCAAGCCUGCGUCCCUUGGAGCAUCUGCAAGGCUGCAUCCCUUGGAGCAUCUCCGUGCCCUCCUCUGGACCAGCAGCUCCAAAACCAAACGGAGCGACACAGGGGUCUGUUCUCUGCCUCCCCCGAGCCGCUCCCGUCAGUGUUCCCCGCGUUCCCUGCCUGCCCCAGCCCCGGGCUCGUUCCCGGUCGUUCCCGGGGGAUCGCGAGCGGUCCCGGACCCCGUCCCGGUUGCAGUGCCGGCUCCCGCCGCGCGAGGGCGCUGUCUCUGGCGGGCCGCGCCCUCCGCGCCGCUCUGGCCCGCGGGCCCCUCUCGGUGGGUUUCCGGGCCGCGCUUCCGGCCGCGUGGCGGGCGGGGGGAUUUCCUGCCGGGGCCUCCGAGAAGCCACAGCCCCUGAUGGUGACAUGGGCGGGUGUGUUGGCACUUGGUGCUGCCAUUCCUGAGGGGAGGGAGGACCAGGAAAUUUACUCAUCCUUGCAUUUGCUGAGCCUCUUGGCUGAGACUGCUGUUUUUCUAAGGAUUGACUGAUCAGAUCCUGGCAGUCCUUUAAGUCACUUGAAGGGACGACUGGAAACAGGCUCUUCCCUGUGAGCUCUGAAGAUCAGACCUGCUGGACAGUAAGAAGUCAUAUUUGCUUCACUUUUCUUCACUCCCUGGGAUGCAAACAAAAGAAACCAGAGCAAGUUACUGCCUGCUGAAAUUCCAGGGGCUUGAACUACAUUCCAGCACAACGGAGAGGCAUUUUGAAUCUUUUCUUGGUAUGUGUCAGCCCUGCACUGCUCCCAGGCAACUGCACUUUAAGUUAGAUAUUAUUAAUUUUAAAGGUUUGACUACCAAUAGUUCUCAUUAAUUUCCAUGGCAACAUUGCCUGAAACAAGAUAACAAUUGCUUUGGGUUGUAUAACCGAAGUUCCUAACGUGAAGGAAUGCAAACCAGGAAAAGUGCUCAGAUGGAGGGAACUGACUGACCUUGCAUAACCUCCCUAGGGCCAAACUUCCCUUCCUAUCUAGCAAUCUGCAUUCCUAGUUUGCUGAAAAUAUUGAACAGUUUGCACUUUCAGUCUGUGUCCUCUGGGCUUCAUUCUCCCGCAUGCCUCACAGCUUCCCUGAAACAUUUCACCCACACGUUUAUUCCUUUAUAUUCCUGCUAACGACGCAUGGCUAGAGCUUUCAUAUGAGAUGUAACAGGGAUAUAAAUGAUAAUAGAAAAUUUUAAAACCA